CGUGUUGUGAGGCUGGACGCCAAUGACUUAAUCCUUGCCAUCCCUGGCUCCCUCCUCGGAGAAAUGGGGCUUGAUUUCUUGCUCGAAACUUGUGGGGACACCAAGUACCUAAACAAAUGGUUCCCAGGCAGCUCUGAAAAGUACCGGCGUGCGUGCCUCCUCUCCCCCAAACAGCUCAUCGCGCCUGGCCCGUCUGGAACCCUAAACCAGCCGUGCGCACGUUCCCGGAGCACAGAGUCAGCUGUCAUUUUCCCAGCCCCAGCCGCUCUCCGCACGAACAAGUGAAGUUUCAAGGCCGGCAAGGGGCGGCCUGCAGAGGCCAGGAAGGCGGAACGUUUCAACAGAGGAGAAAAGACAGCGUUUUGGGAAAAUGGGUCAGUGGUUAAGCAAUCAGGCCGGCGCGCAGCAAAGCCGGGUGAACUUACCUUAGACCGGCCACGGCCAGACAGCCCGGGGCCCCAGGGUCGUCGGCCUCUCCGGGUUCUCCGCGUCAGGUGCCUCCCUCCGCCCUCCCCGGGGCCCAGAGGCUCUCAAGGACCUGGACCAGGUUGGGUGCAGCUCAGCGCAGCUUGGGGUGUUGGUGACUACAGGAUUCUGAGAAUUGAGGCCCAAUGCCCGUUCUCUUCUUCUGCCUUCGUGAAAGAAGUUUUAGCCAGACAAAUGACUACACGGAAUAAAGUCGGCAUCGCUCAGCCUUCCCUGUAGGUUGGCAUGGCUGUGUGGCUAAGUUUGGAUGGAUCUUUCCUUGCAGCUCUUGGAGCAUCUCCACCAUCAGAAACCUUAGGAAAAGCUCGACCACAGGGAAGAUGUGAAGACUAAAACAGGCCUUGGACUGGAAUGGGAGAAUAAGUGCUUCUGGUCUCUGGGCCUCUUGGGUAGACCAGGACUCUGGAUAGAGGGCAUGUCCCCCAUGGGGAGAUUCUGCUCCUCUGUGGGACUCGGCAUCAGGGUUUGGCUCCCAGAUACUCACUUGGAUAAAAAGGCCUUUUAAAAGUUGUCCUCUGGCCGGUGCUGUGGCCCGAAGCACUGGUGCCAGUUGAAGUCCUGUCUGCUCCUCUUCUGAUCCAGCUCUCUGCUAUGGCCUGGGAAAGCAGUAGAAGAUGACUCAAGUCCUUGGGCCCCUGCACCCACAUGGGAGACCCAGAAGAAGCUCCUGGCUCCUGGCUUCUGAUUGGCUCAGCUCUGGCCAUUGUGGCCAAUUGGGGAGUGAACCAGCAGAUGGAAGACCUCUCUCUUCUCUCUCUCGCUGCCUCUUUUCUCUCUGUGUAAU
Lepus europaeus (European hare) is the source of this 1270-nucleotide long non-coding RNA. RefSeq lists it as uncharacterized. The record is from RefSeq and is a predicted model, not a curated record. NCBI's taxonomy places the organism in Eukaryota, Metazoa, Chordata, Mammalia, Lagomorpha, Leporidae. The transcript is spliced from 5 exons.